This 492-nucleotide ribosomal RNA is filed under the name uncultured bacterium. RNAcentral describes it as "bacterial SSU rRNA". It matches the Rfam family "Bacterial small subunit ribosomal RNA", at positions 1 to 518 of the family's 1533-position model. The record is from RNAcentral.
AGAGUUGAUCAGUGGCUACAGGACGAACGCUGGCGGCGUGCUUCAUACAUGCAAGUCGAACGAGAAGCUUACUCGGUAAGUGGAAAGUGGCGGACGGGUGAGUAAUGUGUAGAGAAUCUGCCCUGAAGUGGGGGGACAACAGAGGGAAACUUCUGCUAAUACCCCAUAUGAGCGUAGUUGAGAUACUAUUCUUGAAAGAUUUAUCGCUUCAGGAUGAGUCUGCAUCUGAUUAGCUAGUUGGAGGUGUAAUGGACCACCAAGGCGACGACCAGUAGCUGGUUUGAGAGGAUGAUCAGCCACAAUGGGACUGAGACACGGCCCAUACUCCUACGGGAGGCAGCAGUAGGGAAUUUUGCGCAAUGGGCGAAAGCCUGACGCAGCAAACCGCCGCGUGAUCGCAGACGGCCUUCGGGUUGUAAAGAUCUGUCAGUAGGGACGAACAAUGACUGUACCUACAGAGGAAGCACCGGCUAACUCCGUGCCAGCAGCGGC